AUUGAGCGCUGGCGGCAGGCCUAACACAUGCAAGUCGAGCGGAUGAGAGGAGCUUGCUCUUCGAUUCAGCGGCGGACGGGUGAGUAAUGCCUAGGAAUCUGCCCAGUAGUGGGGGACAACGUUUCGAAAGGAACGCUAAUACCGCAUACAUCCUACGGGAGAAAGUGGGGGAUCUUCGGACCUCACGCUAUUGGAUGAGCCUAGGUCGGAUUAGCUAGUUGGUAGGGUAAAGGCCUACCAAGGCGACGAUCCGUAACUGGUCUGAGAGGAUGGUCAGUCACACGGAAACUGGGACACGGUCCAGACUCCUACGGGAGGCAGCAGUGGGGAAUAUUGGACAAUGGGCGCAAGCCUGAUCCAGCCAUGCCGCGUGUGAAGAAGGCCCUCGGGUCGUAAAGCACUUUAAGUUGGGGGGAAGGGCUUACAGCGAAUACCUGUGAGUUUUGACGUUACCGACAGAAUAAGCACCGGCUAACUUCGUGCCAGCCGCCGCAGUAA
This 498-nucleotide ribosomal RNA is filed under the name uncultured bacterium. RNAcentral's name for it is "partial 16S ribosomal RNA". It matches the Rfam family "Bacterial small subunit ribosomal RNA", at positions 30 to 523 of the family's 1533-position model. The record is from RNAcentral.